AGGCAAUAGAUACCCAGGUAGUCCACGCCGUAAACGAUGAAUGCUAGCUGUUAGAAGUAUCGACCCUUCUAGUAGCGAAAGCUAACGCGUUAAGCAUUCCGCCUGUGGAGUACGGUCGCAAGACUAAAACAUAAAGGAAUUGACGGGGACCCGCACAAGCGGUGGAGCGUGUUCUUUAAUUCGAAGGUAAGCGAAGAACCUUACCAAGGUUUGACAUCCCGGUAGCCGUUUUCCGAAAGGAGAACUUCAUUUAGUUGGACCGGUGACAGGUGUUGCAUGGCCGUCGUCAGCUCGUGUCGUGAGAUGUUUGGUUAAGUCCAUCAACGAGCGCAACCCUUAUAGUUAGUUGGAUUUCUCUAGCUAGACUGCCCCGGUAACGGGGAGGAAGGAGGGAUGAUGUCAGGUCAGUAUACCCUUACACCUUGGGCUAGAAACACGCUACAAUGGCCAGUAC
This 454-nucleotide ribosomal RNA is filed under the name uncultured bacterium. Its description in RNAcentral is "bacterial SSU rRNA". It matches the Rfam family "Bacterial small subunit ribosomal RNA", at positions 774 to 1240 of the family's 1533-position model. The record is from RNAcentral.